RNAcentral lists this transfer RNA (76 nucleotides) under Gymnothorax buroensis. RNAcentral's name for it is "tRNA-Leu". It matches the Rfam family "tRNA". From Rfam's summary of the family: Transfer RNA (tRNA) molecules are approximately 80 nucleotides in length. Their secondary structure includes four short double-helical elements and three loops (D, anti-codon, and T loops). The record is from RNAcentral. Lineage: Eukaryota; Metazoa; Chordata; Actinopteri; Anguilliformes; Muraenidae.
GCUAAGGUGGCAGAGCCCGGUAAUUGCAAAAGGCCUAAGCCCUUUCUGUCGGAGGUUCAAAUCCUCUCCUUCAGCU